Molecule: long non-coding RNA, 233 nt
Filed under: Panax ginseng (ginseng)
Lineage: Eukaryota; Viridiplantae; Streptophyta; Magnoliopsida; Apiales; Araliaceae
Description: long non-coding RNA (PGIN_LNC012871)
Source: RNAcentral
GGCAAUUGGCUCAUGUUGUAUUUUUCUUCCGGCAGUUAAUCAGGGGGACCAAGGGCAAGUGUGACGAGAGCUUCCUUUAAUCCAAUAGUUUUGAUAUAUUUUGUUAGAUUUCGAUACAUUGAUUUAUUUAAAGUUGUAAUAAUUAUUUUAGAUUGUGGAUUGAGUCAGUGUGGCAUUUAUUAUGGUUUGUCUUAUGACAUUGAAUUAUUAUGAGAUUAUUCUUUUGUGGUUUA